UUUCAAUUUCCCUGGUAAGGACCUUAAGAAGAUUACCCAUCCCAGCAAACCUGGAAAUAAAGUAGUUCCAAUUCACAUUCGAAAAUCCAAAGUGUUGAUGCAAAACAUUCAACGUCUGUCUUGUUGAAGAUGUUCCAGAGCCUUCCUGAUACUUAGAGAGAGGUGGCAAUCUGAGCAGCCCGUCGCCUGUGCCCGCCGCGGUGACCCUCGUCCAUCCCCCGCGCCUCAGAGAC
This 233-nucleotide long non-coding RNA is filed under the name Gallus gallus (chicken). The record is from RNAcentral. Lineage: Eukaryota; Metazoa; Chordata; Aves; Galliformes; Phasianidae.